UGAAGUAUGCAUUGAACAAUACUAGCCUUGUUCUGAAGGAAUACAUAUUUACAUUAUUUAGAAGGCUCAGGUGUAAACAGAACUCUUUAUUAUUAGGUUCAUAAUGGGUUAUAGCAUUAGGUUCAUAGCAUUAUGCAGUUUUGUCUAGGGGUUUGUAGCUGGUUGUCGGUUAUGUGCGGUGGGCUGUUCGAGUCUUUUUGUGGGUCCUCUUCCAUUCUUCCAACAGGUGGCUCCGGGCUGAAGGUGUUUGGCCGGCUGGUUGGUCAUUCAAGAGUUGGUCGGUCUCUUGCCUCUUUAGGGUCUUCAUUGUUUCAGCUAUUAAUGCUUGGGAGUUAUUA
RNAcentral lists this long non-coding RNA (338 nucleotides) under Androctonus crassicauda. The record is from RNAcentral. Lineage: Eukaryota; Metazoa; Arthropoda; Arachnida; Scorpiones; Buthidae.